UUGAACGCUAGCGGGAUGCUUUACACAUGCAAGUCGAACGGCAGCGCGGACUUCGGUCUGGCGGCGAGUGGCGAACGGGUGAGUAAUGUAUCGGAACGUGCCCAGUAGCGGGGGAUAACUACGCGAAAGCGUAGCUAAUACCGCAUACGCCCUACGGGGGAAAGCAGGGGAUCGUGAGAACUUGCACUAUUGGAGCGGCCGAUAUCGGAUUAGCUAGUUGGUGAGGUAACGGCUCACCAAGGCGACGAUCCGUAGCUGGUUUGAGAGGACGACCAGCCACACUGGGACUGAGACACGGCCCAGACUCCUACGGGAGGCAGCAGUGGGGAAUUUUGGACAAUGGGGGCAACCCUGAUCCAGCCAUCCCGCGUGUGCGAUGAAGGCCUUCGGGUUGUAAAGCACUUUUGGCAGGAAAGAAACGUCGCGGGCUAAUACCCCGUGGAACUGACGGUACCUGCAGAAUAAGCACCGGCUAACUACGUG
RNAcentral lists this ribosomal RNA (483 nucleotides) under uncultured bacterium. Its description in RNAcentral is "partial 16S ribosomal RNA". It matches the Rfam family "Bacterial small subunit ribosomal RNA", at positions 30 to 507 of the family's 1533-position model. The record is from RNAcentral.